Molecule: ribosomal RNA, 253 nt
Filed under: uncultured bacterium
Lineage: Bacteria
Description: partial 16S ribosomal RNA
Rfam family: Bacterial small subunit ribosomal RNA
Source: RNAcentral
UACGUAGGGUGCAAGCGUUGUCCGGAAUUAUUGGGCGUAAAGAGCGUGUAGGCGGCCAUACAGGUCCGUUGUGAAAACUGGAGGCUCAACUUCCAGACGUCGACGGAAACCGUGUGGCUAGAGUCCGGAAGAGGAGAGUGGAAUUCCUGGUGUAGCGGUGAAAUGCGCAGAUAUCAGGAAGAACACCAAUGGCGAAGGCAGCUCUCUGGGCCACUACUGACGCUGAGAAGCGAAAGCAUGGGGAGCGAACAGG